CUAGUAAUGGCAGGUCAGCAUACUGCCGUGAAUACGUUCCCGGGCCUUGUACACACCGCCCGUCACACCAUGAGAGUUGGAAAUACCCGAAGCCUGUGAGCUAACAGUAAUGAGGCAGCAGUCGAAGGUAGAGCCAAUGAUUGGGGUGAAGUCGUAACAAGGUAGC
Molecule: ribosomal RNA, 166 nt
Filed under: uncultured bacterium
Lineage: Bacteria
Description: partial 16S ribosomal RNA
Rfam family: Bacterial small subunit ribosomal RNA
Source: RNAcentral